Astatotilapia calliptera (eastern happy) is the source of this 635-nucleotide long non-coding RNA. The record is from Ensembl. NCBI's taxonomy places the organism in Eukaryota, Metazoa, Chordata, Actinopteri, Cichliformes, Cichlidae.
AAAUCGCCUUUUCAGAAAUCCUCUUACAGUACAAGUGCUUUCUGUGGCUGCUAGGAAAGAUAGAAAAACCUCUUUAAACCCUUUUUUGUCUUUUGUGCUUUAUUUUUUACAAGACACUUGAUGUCAUCCAGCGUUAAAUGCAGUAAGAAAUCUCAGGUGGAAUUGCUGCGCUGGCUUCUCUCACUGGGUCCGCCUCUGGGCAGCAUUUCCCUAUAGUUCCCUCCUUCAUACACCUGCUUCACAUUUGCGAUCGAGUGCUGGGUAUAUCUGGCUGGUGGAUUCACCAGUUCUUUGCAGUUACCUGUCUGAGCUGUUGUGGAAACUUUGGCUCUUUGGAAAUACAAACCUCCUCCAUGACUCCAUUCACCUAGAAAACAAGUAAGGCUGACACAGUUUUCACCUCUGUCAACAGUGUCCCACUACUGGACUGCUUUUAGCUCCCUAUUUAAAGGCAGUGCUCACUAAUGAACUGCAGAACCUCCCGACCAUCUAUCCACUACUUCUUCAUUCAGUCGUUGUCAAUAAAAUAAAUCUUAAACUUCCCAGCUGUUCUUUGAGUCUGCUCUCUGGGUCUACAAUUAGCCACAUUAUUACAGGAAGCAGUCAUCUAUAAAACUGAAUAAAUCUCAUUCAAC